Long non-coding RNA from Sinocyclocheilus anshuiensis, 428 nucleotides. RefSeq lists it as uncharacterized. Lineage: Eukaryota; Metazoa; Chordata; Actinopteri; Cypriniformes; Cyprinidae. The transcript has 3 exons. The record is from RefSeq and is a predicted model, not a curated record.
GACAGCUGAUCUAUGAAACUCUCUCAGUAUUUAGCGGGCGUUUCCUGAAGGCUGAGCGUCUUGCAGGUCCGUGAAAUACUUCUGUAAGGAGCGAGGAAGGGUUACAAAACAUUUACCAGCUUUGACUGCUUUAGUAAGGAAGAGGAUUUCAUUCAGACAACCCUGUGAAGUUUUUCCAGGAAGCUAGCAUCAUGCCGAAAAAAUCAAGUCGUCCUCCUGCAUAUGGUGGCAGACAUCAUCACCGAUCCACCCAUCGCAGAACUUCUUACCACCCUGAUGAAAUGCUUCACUUUUACCGCUGGACAUCACCCCCAGGUGUCAUGAAGAUUUUGUGCAUCAUCAUCAUCAUUUUGUGUGUGGCUAUGUUUGCCUGUGUAGCCUCCACACUGGCAUGGGACUAUGAUGCCAGCGCCAUGGGCCUUGGGGGU